RNAcentral lists this ribosomal RNA (253 nucleotides) under uncultured bacterium. Its description in RNAcentral is "partial 16S ribosomal RNA". It matches the Rfam family "Bacterial small subunit ribosomal RNA", at positions 524 to 776 of the family's 1533-position model. The record is from RNAcentral.
UACGUAGGGUGCAAACGUUGUCCGGAAUCAUUGGGCGUAAAGAGCGUGUAGGCGGCUCGAUAAGUCUGCUGUGAAAGUCCAGGGCUCAACCCUGGAAGGCCGGUGGAAACUGUCGGGCUAGAGUCCGGAAGAGGCGAGUGGAAUUCCCGGUGUAGCGGUGAAAUGCGCAGAUAUCGGGAGGAACACCAAUGGCGAAGGCAGCUCGCUGGGACGGUACUGACGCUGAGACGCGAAAGCGUGGGGAGCGAACAGG